AGUUCAUUUAAUUCAUGUGCUUCGAGGAAUUUAUACGGAUACCGAGGUAUAUCGCAUUCGAUUACAUUUUUUCGGAUAAUCCGUAGUUAAUCAAAGUCGCGUAAUCGCGUAAUCGCGUUCUCGAGACAGUUGCUCCGGGCGAGUGAAGUUGGCCGUGCGCGAUUUACGAAAUUCUCUCCGCCACCUUCGCUUCACUUGUCGUGUCUACCUGCGCGCGGGUAUCGCGGGAUGUCACGGUGCGGCGUCAUGGCGUCAUGGGCGUCAAGCGGAUCGUAUAGUUUCGUUCGUAGUUUCUUCGACCGCGACGUAAUUCUUCUGUCGCCGUGUAAUUAAGUUUCUUAGUACCGCGUCGCGAGAUUAAUACCGGGAGUGCCGUGUGCCUUUAGUGUCGCGCGAUCAUAAGAGGAGACGAUAUCGUCGAUUUUCGCUCGUGAACGUCGUCGCGUUGUGAGUGAGUGCGACAAUGGACCAACGGAGUAACGGAGGACGAUCGAGGAGAGGAGAACGGGGCCUGGGAGGCAUCGGGCGACGGCGGAGCGACCGUGGGAUCAACGCAGAAUUACAACUCCGCUGUUGCGCAUCGGCCGCUUAAUGCUAAGGUAGCACCGCCACGAUUUUCUCCGAAAUGGCACGGGAUACAAAAUUGUUAUUAGUGGUACAAAUUAGUACAAAAUGGGUACUAAAUAUUCUGAUAGGUCCGGUUUGAUUCUGCCGAUUUGGUCCUGCUAGCUUAGAAGAGGUCUCGAUAGCACGUAAAUGAUGCAUAAGUAUA
Temnothorax curvispinosus is the source of this 772-nucleotide long non-coding RNA. RefSeq lists it as uncharacterized. The record is from RefSeq and is a predicted model, not a curated record. The transcript is spliced from 3 exons. NCBI's taxonomy places the organism in Eukaryota, Metazoa, Arthropoda, Insecta, Hymenoptera, Formicidae.